CCCGAUCGACUCCUAAUUGGAGUCGGAAAUCGCCACGGAGAGGAGUCAAACUUCUCCCCUCCUGCUCUAUUUAAAGGGGAGACACUUCUCCCUUCCCCCACCAGAGAAUCCCAGAGUCAAACAGUGAGGAUCGUCGAAGUUUUCUCGUGGAAGCCAUCAUCAUGCUCACCCCAAAUUCUCGUCAGAGAGGUCACUGGAGCUCAAGGUAAGCCCGACUUCUCUUCCUUCCUUCUCCCCCUUCCUUUCCUUGCAUGUGUGCACAAUCAUCGAUGAUCGGGUUCGUCAAAUUUUGUUGGAGAAAAUAUUUCUUGUUUUUCGGCCCUCUUUUCUUCGAUUUUCUAGCACCGGUGGUCACCGCCGAUCACUGAUUUGGUCCCUCCGGGCCACGAGAUCAUCAUCCCCUUAUCGUCGGCCACCAUCGUGCCGACCACGAUCCUUGGUCGGUCGAGCAAAGGGGGGACCACACGGUCCUCUGUUUUUGCCCAAAAGAAACCAU
This 496-nucleotide long non-coding RNA is filed under the name Elaeis guineensis (African oil palm). Its description in RNAcentral is "long non-coding RNA (EGUI_LNC077330)". The record is from RNAcentral. Lineage: Eukaryota; Viridiplantae; Streptophyta; Magnoliopsida; Arecales; Arecaceae.